GUGCAGGCAGAGUGUUUACCGUACUAAAACAAGAAAACAAAAUCUCUAGUACAAACAUGGUACAAAGAACCAUGGAUUAUGGUCGGGGAGAAGAAAAUAUUUUCGCACAGUUCAGGGUCUCCUCAGUAAGUUUAGUUUUAGCGGUUUUAGUGAGAAUUGUAGAACUUCAGCGAAGAGUGUGGUGAGUAAAAGUGGAGUGUAGAAAUUCAAAUGUUAUAAAUAUGGUCGGGAAUAGUUGUACAGAAAAGAAAGACAAUUUUUGAAUAAAUUUAUGAAGAGGUUGCAAAAUGUGUGAUAUGCAGGAAGCAGGAUAGCAGCCAGAGGACAUAAUUUACUGGCUUAGAACAUCGGAAACUAGAAAACUGCAGGAAUCUGUCGAUGUCGCACCAUGUUCUUUUAACUUAUGACUUGAAAGGAAUAUUGCAUUAAAAGAGAAAUAUGCUAGUGGCUUUGGCUACAACAGUAACUCCACAUAUUCUUCUGUAUUCAUCGAGCAGCCUUAAUUGGAUAUGGGAGCAGGAGUUCUCACCUUUCGAUAUUCCAUCUCCCAGAAGUUCCCCUAGCCCUGUUAAGGAUCAAAGACUGACGCCGAUCAUCACCCGAUCAGAUUUGGAGUUUUUAAUUGUAGCUGUAUGCGGUGUGUUGGCGGCUUCUUGGUGAAGACGGGAUGAUCAUGAUUUGACCCAUCCCCAGGAACGUCAACCUAAAGAAGGAAAGGCCAGUUUGCAUUUUCUUCACGCUCGAAGGUCGAAACAAAAACGUAAAACGUGCCAUGCGACGGGGUAGAGGUUGGGUGAGGACGACACGUGAUGCAUCAUUAUCAAGCAGACCCACCCCCAGCAACGGAAACCUGAAGAAGGAAAAGGCCAGUUUGCAUGUCCUUGACGUUCGAAGGGAGAUCAUUACGUAUAAUAGCCGCAAGGCUCAAGAGGUGAGGGUGAGGAAAAAUCUUAUAAAAGGAAGAGAGAAAAAGCUAUGGGAACUCAGUCGAGUGAGCACCUCCGACACGGCAACAACUGCAGCUCAUUAUUUGUCACCAACUGCCUUCUUCAUUGUAAUACCGGUUCGCAAUCACGGGUAUCAACAACUAUGGCGCCGUGCUGCUGUUUGGUGUUGUAUGGUUAAUGGUUGGAUCGACCACGGGUGUACAGAUGUCUCCUGGACAUGGUGGAUACCAAGCAACAGCAGCAAAAUAAUAGUACACCACGUCGCCGCCUUACUACACAACAACGUCUAUAUACGCAACAUCUACGAGGUUCCCAUGUACUACACCACCGAGCAUACUGUCCCAGCCUACUUCACCGAAGUCCCCAAGUACUACACGACUACGAAUGCUGGCCCCAUCUUACUACACCGAGGCUCCAUCUUAUUUCAAUACCAAAGCGGUCGAGUACUACACCGAACCGCACGAGUACUACUCUGCCCCGAACUACACAACCACAACUGAGGCGGCCAAGUACUACUUAGCCCAGACUUACAACACAGAAGCUGUUCCUUCCCUCUACGUUGAACUGUAAUACUACACCGAGGAUCAAGUCUACUACACCACAACCUACGCUACACCUAGAUACUACGACGAAGCCCCCCAACUACUACUACACCGAAAAGUCCACAUAACAAAGUACACUGCCCCAGUUUCCUUCACUAAAUGUAACUCUGCUCCAAGCUACUACCAAACUGAGGCUCCCGUCUACUAUACCAGUACACCAAGGCCAUCGAGUAUUACACUACAAUCAAAUGUUAACUAUGGUGUCCUGCUGCUGUUGGUUGUUGUUUCCUUGAUGGUCAAGUCGACCACUGGUGUACCGAUGUCUCGGGUUAAUGUGGAUAUCAAACCCCAACGCCGCCGUCUUAUAACACAACAACAUACGCAACAACCGGUUACUUCCCCACCAAUUCUCCAGAGUAUAAUCCAUAACUGAUUAUGCCCCGAACACCGAAGAUACAAAGUAUAACUCUGCCCCAAGUUACAUCACCAAGACACCGGAGUACUACACCACCAAGGCACCCGAGCUGCGAAAUAUUCCACUGCCCUGAGUUACUACACCAUUAAGGCACCUGAAUGUUACAUCACAACCUUCGCUUCUCCAGUUUACUACAGGGAGGCUAAUAAAUCCUACAGCCAAAGUUUCUGAUGUUUUUAAUUGUGUUCAAAUUUGUCGGUCACAUCUUAAUAGUUACUAAUCACUUGGAAAUUGGAAUCGUUGAGCUUAAAUGAGAAAAUAAAUUUUUUUAUGGUAA
Long non-coding RNA from Daphnia pulex (common water flea), 2241 nucleotides. RefSeq lists it as uncharacterized. The transcript is spliced from 9 exons. The record is from RefSeq and is a predicted model, not a curated record. Lineage: Eukaryota; Metazoa; Arthropoda; Branchiopoda; Diplostraca; Daphniidae.